CGGCUUUUCCUUAAGCAUUUGAGCAUUUACUAAAGUGUGAUGACUUUGAAGUGCUGCCAAACCAACUGUGAACUAUGAUGAACAAACACCUCCUGCUGAACAUCCAUAGUGCUUGUCCAACGGUUCAUUUUUUGAUGCCUCAGGAAAGAAGGAAAAGGGAGGCGAAACAGAAAACUACCACUACAUAUGAUGAUAGUUCAGACAACAAAGAAGACGCCUCAAAGAAGGUGAAUUCAGAUAUGUUAAAACUAAUUCUGUAAUUAGGGGAAAAUCUCCCCUUGCCCAAACCGUCGUUUCCGCAACCGACGCCUCCCUUCGAUCUCCUGGAACCGACGCCCCCUCGAGGGAUCGUCGUGUCUCUUCGGGACAUAUAAAAGGGGGCCUGUAACCAUCGAUCAAUGGAUUCGAUCAUUCUGAUUCAAAACACGUUAUCACGCACGUAGAACAGCCAGCGAGAGCAAAAGAAACAUCCGAGAAAGGAGAAGAGAGGGAGCACUCGCCGCCGGUGAGAUGCCUAACCUCGUUUCCUUCUUCCUCCGCCUGAUCCGCGAGGAUGGUCGUCGAUACCGUCGUCGCUACCAUGGAGUGGGUGGACUCCGGCGUUUCCGUCGCCGGAUGCAAGCCAUCAGACAGUUCGGCCGCAGCGCCGCUGGAUGCGCCCGUCGCGGUGCUCACCACGCCCCUGGACACGGUUCCCGUGCUCCUGGACGCGCCCACUGCGGUGCUCCCCGCGCCCGUGGCCAGGAGCCCAUGGGGUACGACCCUUGGCUGGUGGCCGGCCCGAGCGCCCCCAUGAUGCACGGGGCUGCUACCGCGCCUGCCCUGCCCACUGGGUCUCCGCCUCCACCACCUCCUCCGCCGGCCGCAUGGAUCCCGCCGUCAACGCCGACGCCUGAUGCCGUGGCCGCUGGCCCGAGCCUCCGCCCGCCUGGCUACGCCCCGGUGCCGAUGCGCUCGACGGUGAAUGCAGAGGAAGCGCUCGCCUUCAUCUCCGCUCCAUCCGGCGCCUCUGGUGUCAUCCGCCUUGGAGUCGGCAUGGAGGGCGCUGCCGCCGCCGCCGCCGGCACGCCUCAACAGGAGACAGCCGCGGGCUCGAGCAGCCGCGCGGAGCGGCGUUUCGGGCGUGCCGUCGCAGCCCUCGACCGCCGCCCCGGCCGUCGCCCAGGCUCAUGGGCUCCGGCGAACCUCGGCUUCACCGCUACUCCACUGCGCCAGGCCUCCACCGUCGUCGUCUCCUCUUCAGAUGAAGAGGCCUCGUCGGUGUCGCGUCGCUGACAACUGGAGAUGCGAGGGGAGGCGCCGGCACUUGCCCCAAUCGCCGGCGACUGGGCUCCCUGCUCCUUGCAAGCGCUGGUGGUGGUGGGGGAUCGAGCGUGGUGCGGGUCGGGACGGGUCCUUAUCCGUAACCGCCCCACCCCUCGCCUCCUCUUAUGCGGUGUGUGUGGCUGCGGGCUGGCCUCGGUCGGCGGUGGCAGGCCCAGGCCCAGGCGAUCGACCUGCUCCCUUCAAGUUUUUUUUAAUCUCUGUUUUUAUUAGUCUAGUACUAAUUAUUGUAUAUGGUGCAGUUUUAGACCCUGUUUAGUACCUAGUUUGACUGCUACUUACAUACUAGUCCAGUUCUAGAUUAAAUCUGACUAGGACUUGUGUAAUUAUUAGUGUGUUUAUAUUAUGUAAUGGAUUGAUAAUAUAAAUAAAUUACCGGAUUUCAUCUGGGAAGAAUGACAUGUUCCAUGUGUUUACCACAUCUCAUUUUUAUUGAACAUGUCUUUGCGAUUGAGAUCUUCUCUCGCAUAUCAAACUUGCAAAUUUUUGAAUGUUUCUCCCUCAUCUUAUUUGGAAUCACAAGGUAAUGAGUUGUGAUCUACUGCUCAUUUGCAGACUAUCCUCUCUUACUGUGAGGUCUACGCUUUGUCAUUCUCGACAAACGAUUACCUCCAACGUGUAUUCCUUAUAUCUGAAUUGUAGCAUACACAAGGUAAUGGCGAUGUAGCCUAUUACUGUGAGAUCUAAGUGAUCUUCAAAGUGUUAUGUUCACACAAUUGAGGUUGAGAAUUUUUCAAGUUUACACUUGAGUAUCAAAUUUUUGCAUUCUUAUUACACAACCAUGAUGGUUUUUAAUUUACCACCCGUAAAUUAAUUAUCUCUGGUUUCCCAUGUAGGCAAAGAUGACUGCCAAAGAGUUUGAGGAGCUUGCCCUCAAUGGCCACAAUUACCCUACAUGGGCUAUGGACAUCAAGAUCAGUCUUGCGUCCCGUGGGAUAGUGCGUGCAAUACAACCCCCGGAGACUCCUCUCCCGGCUGGGGCCACGCCGCUAACAGAACAGCAGAACUAUGCUGCCUUAUUCAUCAUAAGGCAUCAUAUUCAUCCAGAUCUCAAGUCUGAGUAUUUACAGGAGGAAUCUCCUAGUACUCUGUUUCUGGCCCUCAAAACGAGGUAUGAACAGCAGAAGGCAGUAGUCCUGCCCGAAGCACUCCAUGAUUGGACUCAUCUCCGUCUUCAGGAUUUCAAGUCCAUCGGUGAGUACAAUCAUGUUGUUCAUAAGAUAUGUUCCAAACUGCGCUUUUGUGAGAAGGAACCUACUGAGGGGGACAAGAUAGAGAAAACUUUGUCUACUAUGCUCCCUUCAGAUAGGAUCCUCCAACAACAAUACCAUGCUCGUAACUACACUGUCUAUUCCGAGCUUAUUCACAUGUUACUUCAGGCUGAAAAGCAUGAUGAGCUACUUGCUAAGAAUGGCUCUCAGCGCCCAGUUGGGGCACAACCUUUACCUGAAGUCCAUCUGAAUGUUGCAAAUAGACAAAAGUUUAAUGGUACCCCUCGGGGUAAACAAUCCAAUUUCGAGCAUAAGCGAAAGCGCAAUGGGAACAGGAGAUCUAGAUACCCAGGCAAGGGAAAAGGCACUUCAAAGCCCAGGCUUGAUAAAUCUAAGCUUUGCAACAAGUGUGGAUGCUCCACGCAUUCUACUGAAAAGUGCACAAUGCCCAAGCAUCUGGUUAUGCUGUACCAGCAAUCUCAGGGACGCAAAGCACCUCAAGGGAAAAGGUUUGAAGCCAACUUCAACCUUCAUCCUGAUAACGCAAAAGGAGCUGGUGGUUCGCACGAUGUUCCUCCUGGACCGAGCAACGCCGUGGUUCCUUAUCUGCCUGAGGCUACUGCUGAAAUGGAGAACACGUUGAUUGAGUACACCGCAAACAACGUGUUUGGCGACUUCGACUAGUCCCUCAAUCUCCUAGUGAUCUACUUAAUUAUGUCCAUUUGUGAUGAUUGUAAUAAGAACAUAAGUUUGUUGUUGUCUUUAUAUUGUAUUGUAUCAGCACAUUUGAUAUAAUAAAGAUUGUAUUCUAUAUAUUACUAUGAGGUUUUCUUAUUGAAAAUUCUUUGUUUUAUAUAGUUUUCUACGGGGACAAUCCGAUGGAAGAGGAAUUAUGCCUUGUGGACAAUGGUGCCACAAACUCCAUACUGAGGGAGAUGAAAUAUUUCCAAACUCUGAAAAAGACGAAUGGAGAUAUUCUAACUAUCGCUGGACGCGAUACUGUGAUUGUUGGUACUGGACGUGCCAUAUUCACCCUCCCAAGUGGUACAUAUGUGACCAUUGAGGAUGCUUUACUGUAUCCCGAUUCUGCACGUACCCUGAUCAGUUAUCGAGAUAUCCGUAAAAAUGGUUUUCAUAUUGAAACCCAUGAAGACAACAAAGAGGAGUAUCUACUCUUUACUAAAGAUGACGGAUAUGGCAAAAAGGUACAUGAGAAAAUUCCUUCUCUAUCGUCUGGUUUGUACUAUACGUAUAUCAAACCCGUGGAACAUGUUGCAUACAAAGUAAUUUUUCAGAAUGUUAACGCAUUCCAAACCUGGCAUGAUCGCCUAGGCCAUCCUGGAAUAGGGAUGAUGAGAAAAAUUACUAGCAAUUCCAUUGGUCAUAAUUUGCUUGAGUCAAAAUUUCCUCAAUCUUCUGAUUUUGUGUGCACAUCUUGUGCCACGGGAAAGCUAAUUUUGAGGCCCUCACACUUCAAAAUACAAGCUGAACCACUUCAGUUCCUUGAACGUAUUCAAGGAGACAUUUGUGGUCCCAUUCAGCCAUUAUCUGGACCUUUUCGGUAUUUCAUGGUUCUGAUUGACGCAUCUACACGAUGGUCACAUGUGUGUCUUCUAUCCACACGAAACCAUGCAUUUGCCAAGAUAAUGAGGCAAGUCAUUAAGUUGCAAGCCCAUUAUCCUGAAAGUCGAAUUAAAUCAAUUCGAAUGGACAAUGCUGCAGAAUUCUCCUCACGUGCUUUCAAUGAUUAUUGCAUGGCUUUGGGGAUUGAAGUUCAGCACUCUGUUCCAUAUGUCCAUACACAAAAUGGUUUGGCUGAAGUGUUGAUUAAGAGGAUCAAACUCAUUGCAAGACCUUUGUUGACGAAUUGCAACUUGCCAACCUCUUGUUGGGGUCACGCUGUUUUACACGCUGCUGACUUGAUACAAUUGAGGCCAACUGCAUAUCACAGUUCUUCCCCUCUAGAAUUGGUACGUGGAAAUCCUCCAAGCAUUUCCCAUUUGCGUAAGUUCGGAUGUGCUGCAUACAUCCCGAUCUCACCACCACAGCGGACAUCGAUGGGCCCACACAGGAAGUUGGGGAUCUAUGUGGGGUACAAAUCGCCGUCGAUUAUCAAGUACCUGGAACCCCUGACUGGGGAUCUGUUCACAGCCCGUCACGCUGAUUGCAUAUUUAAUGAGGAACAUUUUCCGGCAUUAGGGGGAGAUUUCAAGUACCAGAAAGAAUGCCCGAAAAUUGAUUGGAAUGCUCAUGCCAUUUCAUCCUCUGAUCCACGUACCCAAGAGACCGAACUUCAAGUUCAGAAGAUCAUUAAUUUGCAACAUCUUGCAAAUAAUCUGCCAGAUUCAUUUACUGAUUUGAAAGGUGUUACAAAAUCCUUAAACCUGGCCAGAAACGCGCCAGAAAGAGUGGAGGUACCAAUAAAAACCACUCAACUCCCUAUUCCUAAAAAGAGGGGGAGUAGUACGGCCUCUGACCCGGAGCAUGCUUCUAGCAAGCAGCAAAGGAAAUCAAGGAGAAAAACCUCAGAGUCAGUAAAUGCAGGUCAACUCAACAUUGACAAACACCUGAUGGGUAGUAUACACCCAGUGGAAGGGCAACCUCCACAACCCAGUUCCAGUAUGCACAAACUGACUGGGACAUCGGAACACCCAGACUCGAUCGUAUUGGGAAAUCACGAAGAGUCACUAGGGGUGCAGGAAAUUUCCAUCAACUAUGUUGAUUCUGGAGAAUCAUUUGACCGUAAGACUACGACUGUCGACAUAUAUUUUGAUGAAAAGAUUGCAGAUACCCUUCUCACUGAUCAUGAUCCAAGGUCUAUCAUUGAGUGCCAAAAGCGCUCCGACUGGCCUAAAUGGAAGGAUGCAAUCCAAGCAGAAAUUGCCUCGCUUAACAAAAGAAAGGUAUUCACUGAAGCAAUACCUACACCUCCCAGUGUUUUCCCCGUGGGAUUCAAAUGGGUUUUUCUCCGGAAACGGAAUGAGAACAAUGAGGUGGUGAGAUAUAAAGCAAGGCUCGUAGCACAAGGUUUCAUGCAAAAACCCGGCAUUGAUUUCACUGAAACAUAUUCUCCAGUAAUGAGUGCAACCACUUUCCGAUAUCUUAUAUCCUUGGCAGUGCAAAAUCGUCUAUCUAUGCAGUUGAUGGACGUCGUGACCGCAUACCUUUACAGGUCACUAGAUUCAGACAUAUAUAUGAAGGUUCCUGAUGGAAUCUCUGUCCCGAAUAAAAAUGCAGAACGCAACAUGUAUUGUGUAAAGCUGAAUAAGUCAUUAUAUGGCUUAAGACAGUCGGGACGGAUGUGGUACAACCGACUCAGUGAGUUCCUUCUUCAAAAAGGUUACUCCAAUAGUGCUGAUUGCCCAUGUGUUUUCAUCAAGAAGUCCUCUACAGGAUUUUGCAACAUUUCUGUGUAUGUUGACGAUCUCAACAUCAUCGGCAGCACACCAGACAUUGAUGAAGCACGCAAUCACCUAAAGAUGGAAUUUGAGAUGAAGGAUUUGGGUAAAACCAAAUUUUGCUUAGGUAUUCAACUUGAGCAUCUUCCCUCAGGAAUCAUGGUACACCAAUCUGCCUGCCUAUAUCCAGAAAAUAUUGGAGAAAUUCAAUAUGGACAAGUCCUAUCCAUCUAAAACUCCCAUGGUGGUUCGAUCUCUAGACAUAGAGAAAGAUCCGUUCAGAGGUGUUGGGACCUGAAGUUCCAUACCUUAGUGUUGUUGGAGCGCUUAUGUAUCUUGCAAAUUGCACAAGACCUGAUAUUGCAUUUGCAGUGAAUCUACUUGCUAGACAUAACGCAGCUCCCACCAAACGUCAUUGGUCUGGAGUGAAGAAUAUUUUUCGAUAUCUCCAAGGCACAAAGGAUCUUGGCCUAUUUUUCCAGUUCCAGAAAAAUCAGGACUCUGAUAUGAUUGGAUAUGCAGAUGCCGGUUAUCUGUCUGAUCCCCAUAAUGCCAGAUCUCAGAACGGCUUCGUGUUCCUACAUGAUGGCACUCCUAUAUCAUGGAAGUCUUCGAAACAGACUCUGGUGGCAACAUCUACCAAUCAUUCUGAAAUAAUUUCAUUAUUUGAAGCAACAUGCGAAUGUGUAUGGCUUCGCAGAAUGAUAACCAACAUACAACGGUCAUGUGGAAUGGGUUCGAUAAAAUCACCUACCAUUAUCUAUGAAGAUAAUGCGGCCUGUGUUGCGCAGAUGCAAACAGGAUACAUCAAGAGUAAUAUCACCAAGCAUAUUUCUCCUAAAUGGUUUUUCCCCCAUAAUCUUCAGAAAAGCGGGGAAAUAAGCAUUCUGCAAGUCAAAUCAUGCGACAACCUUGCUGAUUUAUUUACCAAGUCUCUACCAAAUUCUACAUUCCAGAAAUGUGUUCAUGGAAUUGGUAUGCGAAGACUUAGGGACUUGCAGGUGUCAGGGGGAGUCUCUUCUUGAGAUAUCCUCAUUUUAAUGACAUCACAUUAUGCUAUCUUUCUUUGUGAGUAUAUGUUUAAGGAUCUCAUCAAAGAUUUUAUGAAGAACUUUUGAAGGAGAAUCUUUUGAGAUGAUAGAGCUUCCCGAACAAUCGUGAAGAUGAUCUACAUGGUCAAGCGUAGAUUAGGGGGAGUGUUAAAACUAAUUCUAUAAUUAGGGGAAAAUCUCCCCUUGCCCAAACUGUCGUUUCCGCAACCGACGCCUCCCUUCGAUCUCCUGGAACCGACGCCCCCUCGAGGGAUCGUCGUGUCUCUUCGGGACAUAUAAAAGGGGGCCUGUAACCAUCGAUCAAUGGAUUCGAUCAUUCUGAUUCAAAACAAGAUAGCAAAGAGGGCAGUUCAGAAAGCAAAG
Molecule: long non-coding RNA, 7347 nt
Filed under: Triticum aestivum (bread wheat)
Lineage: Eukaryota; Viridiplantae; Streptophyta; Magnoliopsida; Poales; Poaceae
Description: long non-coding RNA (TAES_LNC019838)
Source: RNAcentral